This 485-nucleotide ribosomal RNA is filed under the name uncultured bacterium. RNAcentral describes it as "partial 16S ribosomal RNA". It matches the Rfam family "Bacterial small subunit ribosomal RNA", at positions 28 to 523 of the family's 1533-position model. The record is from RNAcentral.
GAUGAACGCUGGCGGCGUGCUUAACACAUGCAAGUCGAACGAUGAACCGGGUGCUUGCACUCGGGGAUUAGUGGCGAACGGGUGAGUAACACGUGAGCAACCUGCCCCUGACUCUGGGAUAAGCGCUGGAAACGGCGUCUAAUACUGGAUAUGUCCCGUCACCGCAUGGUGUGCGGGUGGAAAGAUUUUUCGGUUGGGGAUGGGCUCGCGGCCUAUCAGCUUGUUGGUGAGGUAAUGGCUCACCAAGGCGUCGACGGGUAGCCGGCCUGAGAGGGUGACCGGCCACACUAGGACUGAGACACGGCCCAGACUCCUACGGGAGGCAGCAGUGGGGAAUAUUGCACAAUGGGCGCAAGCCUGAUGCAGCAACGCCGCGUGAGGGAUGACGGCCUUCGGGUUGUAAACCUCUUUCAGCACCGACGAAGCGCAAGUGACGGUAGGUGCAGAAGAAGGACCGGCCAACUACGUGCCAGCAGCCGCAGUAA